This is a long non-coding RNA of Oryzias melastigma (Indian medaka), 1584 nucleotides long. RefSeq lists it as uncharacterized. The record is from RefSeq and is a predicted model, not a curated record. The transcript is spliced from 2 exons. Lineage: Eukaryota; Metazoa; Chordata; Actinopteri; Beloniformes; Adrianichthyidae.
GGGAAUACAAGUAAAGCUGAAUAGUGUAAAUGUUUACAGAUUACCUAUUAUUGUGUCACAUUUCCUUUGAUUAAUUGAAGAUUCCUCCAGUUUUAUAAGGAGUUACGUUUAAGUUUUAGAAGAAUAUUCUUAAAAAACUGUUACUGCUUAUUAUGUGUAUUUUAUUUGUAAAGACUUUUGUUUUGAAAGUGCCUUGUACUUCCGGUUUUUCCGUGAAGUUUCCGCGCAUUUCAGCAGAGACAGGAAAAAGGAAAAUGGCUGACACUCGUGCAAAGACAGAAACGGACUGAAAAUUGUUGAAAAUCCAUCAUUUGUCUGUAGCACCUGCUGGAAGACGAACAGGGGCGGAGGACUACAAACAUGGCUACUCGGGGACUUCCUGUCACACUGGACUACAAACAUGGAUACCUGGGGACUUCCUGUCACCCAGGUGCCAGACUGAUUACAAACAUUACAAAUGAGAGGAGAGUCUCUGGGAAAUGAGCUGAGCGAGGAUUCCUGACUGAGCCACACACAACGUUGCCAGCCGCAGAACUCGCACUGUUGAGGAUUUCCGAGACAUUGGAGAAGAUCACCAACCGUGUUGGUGGAAGAUGGUGGAAAUCUAUCUACUAAUGGGUGCGACCUUCACACGCUUCGUCACUGGACAGAUCCGGUAAGUCACAUUUUUUCAACCUGCGGACGGAACGUUGAUGUCCUGAGAAUCUACUUUAGACUGGAGGAGGGCGCCAAAGGGACGGUGAUUGUGUACAUAGGAACUACAUAUAAAGACUUGGGUGCAUCUGGGUGAAGGACUUGUAGAGUUUAUGUGUAAAUCGAGAGAAAGUGUAUAGUCUUGAGUCAUUUUUGUGGGUGUGUAUAAAGAGAAGAAAAACAAACUAUAACUCUUUUGUCUGUAAGACGUACAUUUAUGUCACUACUUUUUUGUUUGUGUGUAAAAAAAGUGUAUAGUCUUGAGUCAUUUUUGGAUUUUUGUGGGUAGAAGAAAAACAAACUCUAAUUCUAUAAGAUGUAGAUUUAUACCACUAUUUUUUGGUUGUGUGUAAUCCUUUGCUGUAUUGUAGAGUGUUACAACUCAGUGUGUGUCCUCAUGUUACAGAUCUUCUAUCCCUAGACUUUUGUGGACGUAGCAUAAUUAGGGGCUGGUCCGGGAUAUAUUUUAUCUGCGACAGUUUGUGUUUUGUACCAGCUGGUCAUACUCAUGAAAUGGUCGUGCUGUACCGGUCACACAAAAUAUCACAGACCUGCAGAGAGAAAAUAUUCGUUUUCUACAGACUUGCUGUGAGAGUCCACUCAUAUAAACACGAAUACAGCCUCCAAAUCAUGCAGACUUGGUGAGGAUCUCGUUAGUGCGGUCCAUGUGGUCGUCCUUUCAUGUAGCCUCACACCGAAUAUAUUAUUAGCAGACUUUCUUCCUUUGACUGUCCGACGGCCGGGACAACCCAAAACCCAGCAGAACCCGUACGACUCCCUUAUGGGUGCUAACGUCUCCUCAUGGUCUCCCUGUAGGAGCUAAGAUGGACGGCUAAGUCUGUUUUUGUGUGUUUUUCUCCACAUUAAACGGAGGUGUUCUCCAUGACUGUU